Molecule: long non-coding RNA, 327 nt
Filed under: Callithrix jacchus (white-tufted-ear marmoset)
Lineage: Eukaryota; Metazoa; Chordata; Mammalia; Primates; Cebidae
Description: lncRNA (ENSCJAG00000084710.1)
Source: RNAcentral
UUCUUGUGAUGUUUGGAAUAGCAGGAAACAAGGACACCCUUUACUCCAGGAUGUCUGGGAGUGACACCUGAAAACGCCGAAGCCACAAAGGCAGUGAGAACAAAAAAACUCGCAGUCAAACCCCACCUGUCUCCUGGACGCCCAGAUGGGGAAGUCAUAACUGAGAUUUUCUCGCUUUUUGCAGAGGAAGAAACUGUCUCGAGGACUUUGGCAGUUCUCUCUGGGCAGCCCUGGCCAGACUGCAACAUGAGAAUCGAUCUGACUUCAGCCUCUGUCUGUAAACUUCUCAUGCUACAGCCUGGGGUGGGGUCGUGCGAACCUAGUCCU